This 482-nucleotide ribosomal RNA is filed under the name uncultured bacterium. Its description in RNAcentral is "partial 16S ribosomal RNA". It matches the Rfam family "Bacterial small subunit ribosomal RNA", at positions 30 to 507 of the family's 1533-position model. The record is from RNAcentral.
AUUGAACGCUGGCGGCAUGCCUUACACAUGCAAGUCGAACGGUAACAGGUCUUCGGAUGCUGACGAGUGGCGAACGGGUGAGUAAUACAUCGGAACGUGCCCAGACGUGGGGGAUAACGAGGCGAAAGCUUUGCUAAUACCGCAUACGAUCUAAGGAUGAAGGCAGGGGACCGCAAGGCCUUGCGCGUUUGGAGCGGCCGAUGGCAGAUUAGGUAGUUGGUGGGAUAAAAGCUUACCAAGCCGACGAUCUGUAGCCGGUCUGAGAGGACGACCAGCCACACUGGGACUGAGACACGGCCCAGACUCCUACGGGAGGCAGCAGUGGGGAAUUUUGGACAAAGGGCGAAAGCCUGAUCCAGCAAUGCCGCGUGCAGGAUGAAGGCCUUCGGGUUGUAAACUGCUUUUGUACGGAACGAAAAGGCUCUGGCUAAUACCUGGGGCACAUGACGGUACCGUAAGAAUAAGCACCGGCUAACUACGUG